Molecule: ribosomal RNA, 484 nt
Filed under: uncultured bacterium
Lineage: Bacteria
Description: partial 16S ribosomal RNA
Rfam family: Bacterial small subunit ribosomal RNA
Source: RNAcentral
AUUGAACGCUGGCGGCAUGCUUUACACAUGCAAGUCGAACGGUAGCGCGGGCUUCGGCCUGGCGGCGAGUGGCGAACGGGUGAGUAAUACAUCGGAACGUGCCCAGUAGUGGGGGAUAGCUCGGCGAAAGCCGGAUUAAUACCGCAUACGACCUGAGGGUGAAAGCGGGGGAUCUUCGGACCUCGCGCUAUUGGAGCGGCCGAUGGCAGAUUAGCUAGUUGGUGGGGUAAAGGCCUACCAAGGCGACGAUCUGUAGCUGGUCUGAGAGGACGACCAGCCACACUGGGACUGAGACACGGCCCAGACUCCUACGGGAGGCAGCAGUGGGGAAUUUUGGACAAUGGGCGAAAGCCUGAUCCAGCAAUGCCGCGUGUGUGAUGAAGGCCUUCGGGUUGUAAAGCACUUUUGGCGGGAACGAAAAGGACUGUGCUAAUACCACGGUUUGAUGACGGUACCAGCAGAAUAAGCACCGGCUAACUACGUG